AUGAGACUCAUUUUUCAUCUACCAAGCGUUAUGGGAUGAAGCACCAGUCAUUAGAAAUGGAUUUUCCAUUCUGCAUCUUUUAUUGCCUGAUGGAUAAAUAAUUCUACAAGUUCUUCCGUGCUAUCCUUUGGAAACAAGAUGGGCUGUUGAAUCGUAAAGUCGGAUGAAGUUUUAACUGUUGCUGUGACUGACCUAAAGAGGAUUUGCCUCCACCAAUGCUACCCUGGAGGGAGGUCCCAACUAGGGUCCCAAAGAUAAUCCUGAGCAGGAGAUUACAUGAAUACCUCACGUCAUUGUGAUUCAGCAUUUUCAGGAAGAGCGCACCAUUGCACUAUUGAAAGUAUGGAACCUCCUGGAGUAGUUGGAGCUCACACUGAUAUAGGAAUCUGAUAAAAAAUAAAUUGAUGCUUCUUGUAUUUUGGUCAAGACUUACUGCUGUGACUUGUUCCCAUGAACCAACAUCCUCUUGUGAAGGAAGGGCCAAAGUUUCCUUUAUUCCCAAGAGAACUGAUUACAGUGACUGCUUCUAUUUUGCUCAUGUGGUGGGAUAUACUAUUGACACAGCUGUCUUAACCUAUGUGUGGCAAAAUAUUUGCUUACUAAAGACCAUUCCUCAUCACCAUUUUCCUUAGAGGAGCAUCAUGCAAAAAAGAGAAGCCCAUGGUAGUCAAGACUGUGGCAAUACUAUACUCCCCAUCAACAGCCAGAUGCAGCUAGAAGAAAACUUCCAAGAAGAGGCAGCAGAGUCUAUAAGAAGAUGUUGAACCUGUGUUGGGCAGCUGGUCUCAGCGGGGCCUGUAAGACAAGCAUCAAUUGCCAACCCUCGGCAUGUGGUUUAUUAUCACUCCAGAAGGGGAGAUGCCUUGGCUGUUAGUUCUCUCUGCACCUCAGGAACCCAGGACAGAGAAUGAGUGAAGAAACCGAGGUCUUCCACAGCCAGAGGGCAUGGGGAUGCUGGAACACCCAGAAAUGGAUUCUUCCUGUGAGUGACAUCACACAGUUGGAUUGGAAGUUUCCUGUUCCAUCUCCAGAGGAGAUGACAGAGUGUGGCUUUAAGGAGAUACUGGGUAGGAAUAAUAUAAUUGAUUUUGUUUGAUGGUAAUCUGAGGUUUCCCCUGGCAGAAAGAUGUACAAAAGUGUGCCGUAAUAUUUAAGAAGCACAUAAUGCUUUCUAUCUCAGAACCACACUGAGAGAUUUAAGCUUGAGGCUCCUAUGAGGAGAAAAGCUGCCUUCAAAGAUCUCAGCUCCUUUUUCACUUUUUAUGUUUUUCCAGCAAAGAGCUCAAACUUGGUACUUCUACAAAUGCAUAUUUGUUAGCUGUAUUGUGACACAAUGUUUCCCAAAUUCAACUAAGGAAAAUGCCCUUCAGUCCUGUAAUGUUAAUACUCUUUCCCUUUUUAUGGCACCCACCAUCCAUUACUACCCCUCAAUCUCAGCAGGGUUGAUUUAUUUUCCAGGGAUAUUUUCUCUCUUAGAUGACCACAGUUGAUGGUGGAUUAAUCCACUCACAUGAACUGUGCUAAAGUUUUAUAGGAAUUGUGGACAUUCUGGCAGGUAAGUAAUCAGAAACACCCUUUGGCUCCCCUCAACUACCAGGUGCAGACCUUGCCUCUUGGACUGAGAAGCCUUUCAGUGAGUCAGAAGAACAGGUAAUUGCAUUAAUCUUAUGUAAACCAGUCACCAGGAAACACUUGCUAUUUAUUCCACAAUCUAUUCUCCCUCUUUCAUCAUCACCAUUUGUGUUCCACCCAUACAGCAAAGCUCAUCUAAGAGAAAAAACAUUGCCAGCAGUAUUUACCUUCUGCUCAGCAUGAGAACGUUUGUCUUUGUGCAGUGAAUACGUCUAUUUAUAAGCAAACAGUAAUACUCUGGAAAGAAAAAUGAAGUAUG
Equus quagga is the source of this 1891-nucleotide long non-coding RNA. RefSeq lists it as uncharacterized. The record is from RefSeq and is a predicted model, not a curated record. Lineage: Eukaryota; Metazoa; Chordata; Mammalia; Perissodactyla; Equidae. The transcript has 8 exons.